This 1332-nucleotide ribosomal RNA is filed under the name Mycobacterium sp. DWMJ-1508A4. RNAcentral describes it as "bacterial SSU rRNA". It matches the Rfam family "Bacterial small subunit ribosomal RNA", at positions 84 to 1428 of the family's 1533-position model. Lineage: Bacteria; Bacillati; Actinomycetota; Actinomycetes; Mycobacteriales; Mycobacteriaceae. The record is from RNAcentral.
GGGGUACUCGAGUGGCGAACGGGUGAGUAACACCGGGGUGAUCUGCCCUGCACUUUGGGAUAAGCCUGGGAAACUGGGUCUAAUACCGAAUAGGACCACGCGCUUCAUGGUGUGUGGUGGAAAGCUUUUGCGGUGUGGGAUGGGCCCGCGGCCUAUCAGCUUGUUGGUGGGGUAAUGGCCUACCAAGGCGACGACGGGUAGCCGGCCUGAGAGGGUGACCGGCCACACUGGGACUGAGAUACGGCCCAGACUCCUACGGGAGGCAGCAGUGGGGAAUAUUGCACAAUGGGCGCAAGCCUGAUGCAGCGACGCCGCGUGAGGGAUGACGGCCUUUCGGGUUGUAAACCUCUUUCAAUAGGGACGAAGCGCAAGUGACGGUACCUAUAGAAGAAGCACCGGCCAACUACGUGCCAGCAGCCGCGGUAAUACGUAGGGUGCGAGCGUUGUCCGGAAUUACUGGGCGUAAAGAGCUCGUAGGUGGUUUGUCGCGUUGUUCGUGAAAACUCACAGCUUAACUGUGGGCGUGCGGGCGAUACGGGCAGACUAGAGUACUGCAGGGGAGACUGGAAUUCCUGGUGUAGCGGUGGAAUGCGCAGAUAUCAGGAGGAACACCGGUGGCGAAGGCGGGUCUCUGGGCAGUAACUGACGCUGAGGAGCGAAAGCGUGGGGAGCGAACAGGAUUAGAUACCCUGGUAGUCCACGCCGUAAACGGUGGGUACUAGGUGUGGGUUCCUUCCUUGGGAUCCGUGCCGUAGCUAACGCAUUAAGUACCCCGCCUGGGGAGUACGGCCGCAAGGCUAAAACUCAAAGGAAUUGACGGGGGCCCGCACAAGCGGCGGAGCAUGUGGAUUAAUUCGAUGCAACGCGAAGAACCUUACCUGGGUUUGACAUGCACAGGACGCCGGCAGAGAUGUCGGUUCCCUUGUGGCCUGUGUGCAGGUGGUGCAUGGCUGUCGUCAGCUCGUGUCGUGAGAUGUUGGGUUAAGUCCCGCAACGAGCGCAACCCUUGUCCUAUGUUGCCAGCGGGUUAUGCCGGGGACUCGUAGGAGACUGCCGGGGUCAACUCGGAGGAAGGUGGGGAUGACGUCAAGUCAUCAUGCCCCUUAUGUCCAGGGCUUCACACAUGCUACAAUGGCCGGUACAAAGGGCUGCGAUGCCGUGAGGUGGAGCGAAUCCUUUCAAAGCCGGUCUCAGUUCGGAUCGGGGUCUGCAACUCGACCCCGUGAAGUCGGAGUCGCUAGUAAUCGCAGAUCAGCAACGCUGCGGUGAAUACGUUCCCGGGCCUUGUACACACCGCCCGUCACGUCAUGAAAGUCGGUAACACCCGAAGCC